Solea solea (common sole) is the source of this 1318-nucleotide long non-coding RNA. RefSeq lists it as uncharacterized. The record is from RefSeq and is a predicted model, not a curated record. Lineage: Eukaryota; Metazoa; Chordata; Actinopteri; Pleuronectiformes; Soleidae. The transcript has 4 exons.
UGUUGAAUGAAGAUGAACGAGGACAAACAUUUGACAGAAGAACUAAAUGUUUGUCUGUACUUCUGAACGAAGGCAGAGACUUCCGGUCUCGCGGGCCCCGCUCUCACUGCUGAUGUGCUCGCGGACUUUAUGCUAACGCGUUAGCAUUUAAGCUAGCGCACUUUCUCCGGAGUUUAUUGACAAACGGAUGGAUUAUUUAAUCCCGAACGAGAGUGACAGGACAUGGGAAUAACUGGACACGCUGAGGUGAAGAGAAACACCCGUUGUGAGAUGACGACAUGACGUCAGCGAUGAAAAAGAAAAGAAGAAGAAAGCACGAACCUCUUAUUCACCUUCUAUCUUCUUAUGGGAUCAUCAGAAAUGAGGUUCUGCCUCAUAAGGACCAGGUUUUGGUCUCCAUGAGGACUACCAACCCGUUCUCAUCCCAAGGCGUCACCUGACAGACGUACACGGUAUCCCUCUGCUUCUGAAAGACUCCCAUGUAAACCCACUGGUGGAGGACUCAGACCAGACCUGGGCCAUCCCGGACCAGACCUGGGCCAUCCCGGACCAGACCUGGGCCAUCCCGGACCAGCCUGUGGAUGUGCUGUCCAGUUGUUGGUGAGUGUGGAAGGAUCAGUGUAAUCCUCGGGUCACAGGUGUCCACUUCUGGUCGACUGCAGUCACGGAAUAAUUGGUGAUGUUUGAGCGAGCGACGUGAUGACACAUCGACCCGCGUGAGCCGGGAGUAAAACAUCAUCGAUUUCAAGGUAAAUGCACAGUUUGACAGUUUAUGUCACAACCUGAUGGUACACAGCGUCGCAUUAUUGGGCGCAGUCAAUAAAUAUGGAAAUAUCUGAACUAAAUACUCCUGUGUCACUGUGGACCAAAAACACUGCUUUUCUCUAUGGACUUUGAUGCAGGAGAGUGAGCGGUUACCAAACUGUUGGGAAAAGUUAGAGCAGCAAACACAUUAUUCAGAUGUCAGAGACUUAAAAGUGGCAAAAACGUAUUCUUUUAAAAUGGAGCAAAUCUCCAUUUUGAGCUUUAUUUUUGGCUCCAGUGCAGUAAGUGCUGUCUGUGUGUGUGUCACCGUCAUAUAAAAGGUCAAUUACAGGCACGUGUGAUGAUAUACCAGGGUAUAGAAAAGUAAUAAAGAAUGGAUCAUGAAAACAAACACAAAAAAUAUUGCUUCUCAAGACACUUGCUUUUCUAGAGGGAAUAAAAGACGCUGCGACUUUGAACCGCAUUGAUUUUCCUAAAAGAAAUAUAUCUGUAUCUAUAUGUCGAGGGUGAGUGUUUGCUGUGAAGGAAUGAUGACGGUGAGGCGGCAGCAGCA